Molecule: ribosomal RNA, 253 nt
Filed under: uncultured bacterium
Lineage: Bacteria
Description: partial 16S ribosomal RNA
Rfam family: Bacterial small subunit ribosomal RNA
Source: RNAcentral
UACGUAGGGGCCUAGCGUUGUCCGGAUUUACUGGGCGUAAAGAGCUCGUAGGUGGUUUGUCGCGUUGUUCGUGAAAACUCACAACUCAAUUGUGGGCGUGCGGGCGAUACGGGCAGACUGGAGUACUGCAGGGGAGACUGGAAUUCCUGGUGUAGCGGUGGAAUGCGCAGAUAUCAGGAGGAACACCGGUGGCGAAGGCGGGUCUCUGGGCAGUAACUGACGCUGAGGAGCGAAAGCGUGGGGAGCGAACAGG